Long non-coding RNA from Mesocricetus auratus (golden hamster), 1365 nucleotides. RefSeq lists it as uncharacterized. The transcript is spliced from 2 exons. Lineage: Eukaryota; Metazoa; Chordata; Mammalia; Rodentia; Cricetidae. The record is from RefSeq and is a predicted model, not a curated record.
CGCACAAAGGUUGAACACUGCACGCGCACGCGAGUCGACGUUAGGAAAAGUGACUGUACCAGGGUCACAAGGCCGAGGCUUCCACGGAAAACUGAGUUACAGCAGGCUUACACACUGGAGCGUCGAAGGGGUCCCAGCAUGUGCCACCGAGUUUGCAACCUCACACGACGACGACGAGGGUGUGCAAAAUGAGACACACCCUGAAAGCCAGCCAGCCUUGGGGCACCUGGGCUGCUGGGCCCCCAAGGCGGUAGGGGCGCGUGGGGUGGGGGGAAGGGGGCCUCGAGGAGGAGGAGGAGGAGGAGGAGGAGGAGGAAGGCGGGGACCCCUCACCUUCAGCACCAGGACCUCCAGCAUCCCGUCGAAGCCUCGCGCCCCACCUCGCCCUUCUCCUGCAGAGCCGCUCGACGCCACCCCACGCCACGCCGCCCCACGCACGCAGGCUGGGAGGCAGCUCUCGGAGCAGGGCCUGGGGGGUGGGGGAGCUGCUGCUGCUGCACCGGGGGACCUCGCCGAACCCGCACGCGCGCUCGCGCACACCCUUUUAACGGCCCGCACACGCUCACCCGCCCCCAUCCCCGCCCCCAUCCCCACCCCCGCGCCUGCGCACAGGCCUCAGGAGGGCUAGACCGCUCCCCACUCCCCACCCCCACUCCCUGCGCGCAAACCGCCUGGAUAACGGCCUGGCCGCGCACAGCGCCGCCCUGAGGCGGGUCGGUGCAUUACAAGGUUAGGGAGGACGCACCGGUCCCUCUCCUCCGGGGACAGCCUCACACAGCAGGCUCUUUUAUCUUGUCCCCAUGUCCCCGAGGACCUACCUCCGUCCCCACCGAGGAUGGAGAGGUUGUUGCAUGCAAUGCAAGCCGAGUCUCCUUCUGCAACCUUGCCUGCCAGGAAGCCCUGCUCUCCACUCCCCCCUAGGGCCAAACUUCCACGCCCCAUCCAUCACCAAGCUCCGGUUGGAUCUCUCCUGUAUCAAUACCUGACUUUUGGCACGGAGCCAGGGUAGACUUUUCUAAUGAGCCACACCCAAGGCCUUGUGGCUUCCUGGCAUUGUUUCCACCUGAGCGCAUUCGGAGGGGGAAAAAAGGGCCCCACCUUCUUCGGGGGGGGCAGGUUCUGGCCACACGUGUGUUUCAUUGCACGGGGCUUCCUUCGACUCCCGGCUCUCUCGUCCUCGUGUUGUUAUGGGCAGAUAACAGCGUUUUCUGAAGGUAGACGUGGUGGAUCGCACCGUGAAACAGGACAGCCAGAAGCACGGGGAGGGUUAGCUAUCCGUGCUUCUCUCUCUCUCUCUCUCUGGCAUCUCCAGCAAACAAGAGGAAGAAUAGUCCAUUAAAAUUAAAGGAACCACGGGACUAUGAA